This is a long non-coding RNA of Sinocyclocheilus grahami, 2079 nucleotides long. The record is from Ensembl. Lineage: Eukaryota; Metazoa; Chordata; Actinopteri; Cypriniformes; Cyprinidae.
ACACAAUCCUGCUCCAGACACCGCCGCUUCAUUCCCACGCGAUGGACACGAUGCAGCGCGACGCUUUCACGCCUCUGCUGGAGGAUUUUCUGCGCUCUCCUCUGGUGUGCUGGGUGGGUGAAGAGCGGAUCUGCCGCGCCGCGCCGCGAUGGUGUGCUGAGCCUCAUCUCUCUCUCUCUCUCUGUGUGUGUGUGUGUUUGUGUGUCUGACUGUGUGUGUGUGUGUCUGACUGUGUGUGUGUGUCUGUGUGUGUCUGUCUGUGUGUGUGUGUCUGUCUGUGUCUGUCUGUGUGUGUGUGUGUCUGUCUGUGUCUGUCUGUGUGUGUGUGUGUCUGUCUGUGUCUGUCUGUGUGUGUGUGUGUCUGUCUGUGUCUGUCUGUGUGUGUGUGUGUCUGUCUGUGUCUGUCUGUGUGUGUGUGUGUCUGUCUGUGUCUGUCUGUGUGUGUGUGUGUCUGUCUGUGUCUGUCUGUGUGUGUGUGUGUCUGUCUGUGUCUGUCUGUGUGUGUGUGUGUCUGUCUGUGUCUGUCUGUGUGUGUGUGUGUCUGUCUGUGUCUGUCUGUGUGUGUGUGUGUCUGUCUGUGUCUGUCUGUGUGUGUGUGUGUCUGUCUGUGUCUGUCUGUGUGUGUGUGUGUCUGUCUGUGUCUGUCUGUGUGUGUGUGUGUCUGUCUGUGUCUGUCUGUGUGUGUGUGUGUCUGUCUGUGUCUGUCUGUGUGUGUGUGUGUCUGUCUGUGUCUGUCUGUGUGUGUGUGUGUCUGUCUGUGUCUGUCUGUGUGUGUGUGUGUCUGUCUGUGUCUGUCUGUGUGUGUGUGUGUCUGUCUGUGUCUGUCUGUGUGUGUGUGUGUCUGUCUGUGUCUGUCUGUGUGUGUGUGUGUCUGUCUGUGUCUGUCUGUGUGUGUGUGUGUCUGUCUGUGUCUGUCUGUGUGUGUGUGUGUCUGUCUGUGUCUGUCUGUGUGUGUGUGUGUCUGUCUGUGUCUGUCUGUGUGUGUGUGUGUCUGUCUGUGUCUGUCUGUGUGUGUGUGUGUCUGUCUGUGUCUGUCUGUGUGUGUGUGUGUCUGUCUGUGUCUGUCUGUGUGUGUGUGUGUCUGUCUGUGUCUGUCUGUGUGUGUGUGUGUCUGUCUGUGUCUGUCUGUGUGUGUGUGUGUCUGUCUGUGUCUGUCUGUGUGUGUGUGUGUCUGUCUGUGUCUGUCUGUGUGUGUGUGUGUCUGUCUGUGUCUGUCUGUGUGUGUGUGUGUCUGUCUGUGUCUGUCUGUGUGUGUGUGUGUCUGUCUGUGUCUGUCUGUGUGUGUGUGUGUCUGUCUGUGUCUGUCUGUGUGUGUGUGUGUCUGUCUGUGUCUGUCUGUGUGUGUGUGUGUCUGUCUGUGUCUGUCUGUGUGUGUGUGUGUCUGUCUGUGUCUGUCUGUGUGUGUGUGUGUCUGUCUGUGUCUGUCUGUGUGUGUGUGUGUCUGUCUGUGUCUGUCUGUGUGUGUGUGUGUCUGUCUGUGUCUGUCUGUGUGUGUGUGUGUCUGUCUGUGUCUGUCUGUGUGUGUGUGUGUCUGUCUGUGUCUGUCUGUGUGUGUGUGUGUCUGUCUGUGUCUGUCUGUGUGUGUGUGUGUCUGUCUGUGUCUGUCUGUGUGUGUGUGUGUCUGUCUGUGUCUGUCUGUGUGUGUGUGUGUCUGUCUGUGUCUGUCUGUGUGUGUGUGUGUCUGUCUGUGUCUGUCUGUGUGUGUGUGUGUCUGUCUGUGUCUGUCUGUGUGUGUGUGUGUCUGUCUGUGUCUGUCUGUGUGUGUGUGUGUCUGUCUGUGUCUGUCUGUGUGUGUGUGUGUCUGUCUGUGUCUGUCUGUGUGUGUGUGUGUCUGUCUGUGUCUGUCUGUGUGUGUGUGUGUCUGUCUGUGUCUGUCUGUGUGUGUGUGUGUCUGUCUGUGUCUGUCUGUGUGUGUGUGUGUCUGUCUGUGUCUGUCUGUGUGUGUGUGUGUCUGUCUGUGUCUGUCUGUGUGUGUGUGUGUCUGUCUGUGUCUGUCUGUGUGUGUGUGUGUCUGUCUGUGUCUGUCUGUGUGUGUGUGUGUCUGUCUGUGUGUGUGUGUCUGUGUGUGUGUGUGUGUAG